Molecule: long non-coding RNA, 2408 nt
Organism: Setaria italica (foxtail millet)
Lineage: Eukaryota; Viridiplantae; Streptophyta; Magnoliopsida; Poales; Poaceae
Exons: 7
Source: RefSeq, a predicted model, not a curated record
CGUCGUGCAUGUACGUAUUGAUUCAGUAAACCAAACCCACGCUAAACCACCUGGCCGAUCCUCCUAUUUACAUGGAUACGGACUCUAUCUCCUACAGCUAAUCAGCUCUAGGUAGUUUAAACUCGUAGAUAGAUUACAUUUGAAUCCGUUACAAAUAUAUCUUCUAAUACUGACAUCUUGGAAACGCAGCGCUCAACAUCCAGACAAACACCAUGCGUAACAAACUGCUCCUACAUGCUUUGGAACUCGAAGAUUUAUCCAAACAUUGGCAGAAAAUUCCACCGUGUUAACGCAGUUACGUGAUCACGUCGCGCCGGACGGCUCCUUGUCCCAAUCCUGAUGUUCGCCGAGCUUUCGGAUCACGAGCCCAGACGACUCCUCCGAGGAGCGAGAAUUUCUCGACGCGCGGCGCUCACAGCAUGACUGCACGACAGCGCGCGAGAGGGCGGUCGGCGCCAGCAGACGAACUCCUCCAUCAUUGCUCGGUCGCUCCCACCAACUGCGCCGCUAUCCGUCCUCGCAGGGGCGCAGGGCUGUGUCCCAAUGCCACCAUGCCGCUGCUCCCCUGCUCCUGCUCGCCGCCACCAGCGCCCCCUCUCCGGCCGCACUCCUCCGCCGUGCCCAGCCGCCAUGGGUUCCUCCGCUCCGCGCCUCCCAGCCUGGGCCUGGGCCUCCGCGUCGCCUCGGGGUCGGGGCGCCGCCGACUCCCCGCCGUCCUCUCUGCGAACGACCGCGUCGUGGUUCGUUGGACCCCCCCUCCCCGCGCCGCCAGACUAUCCCUCAACAACGAGGCUCAUCUCCAAGGUGGCCGACGAUGGGUUUGAGCAUCUUUGACUCUUUGUUGAUCAAAUGAAACGAGUCAGAUCGCGAAAAGGAAAAGUACCCAUCUGAUACCAUUUUCUUUUAACAAACAGUCAAGCUGGCAAUAUCCCUUGUUUCAGUACUAAUAAUAAUCAUGGCAACUACUUCCUGAUUACUGAAAUAUUGGAUGAUGGCUUUCACUAUUAAGAUGACAAUGGCAUAGAUGAUUACAUCUUCCUGUAAAAAGUUUUUGAAGAGUACAUAGCUUGUUCUUGUGUUCAAGGAUGAACAUGUAGAGCUUCUGGCUCAAUAUAUCAAGUUUGUGAAAUUUCUGAAAUUUCGUCCACCUUUGAUGAUGGCUUUCACUAUUAAGAUGACAAUGACAUAGAUGAUUACAUCUUUCCCGUAAAAGGGAUUAGAAGAAUACGUAGUUUGUUCUUGUGUUCAAGGAUGGACUUGUAGAGCUUCUGGUUCAAUAUACGUGAAAUAUCUGAAUUUUCUUCCUCCUCUAUCUCAUAUUCUUUUUGUGCUUGCAGAUUUCUGAUGGUGGGUGCACGACAUUUACUUUUGUCAUUGUUGACAACAAAACGAAAACUUCUACAUGUAAACCUGUUAUUUCUAGAUGGAUAUUGGCACGAUAUGGCAUUGGCUAUUGCUAAGCGGAAAUGUACAGGCUGAUGAGAUGAAUAUUCCAAUUUUGGUUGAUGUGGAUCCAGAAAGAACAAAGGCAGAAUUGGAAGAUCUCAAUCUAGCGAGCUGCACUGUUUGCUUGGGGAAAUUUCCAAAGGUAAAUAUUGUGAGGAAGUGAACAUCAACCUCAUCUGUACCAUGCGCACUACUAGAGACCCUUCUCCAAUUUCCUCGUGCAAAAUUUGUAUUUUUAACCCUUGGGGUAAUUGGCUGCACAAUGCUUGAGAGGAGCAAAGGUGGUCAAUAUUGGUUUUCCCAGGAUGAAUUUAACAACAGCUAGGAUCCAGUAAUGGGCACAUGUUUGCUUUGAGACUUCAAUUUAUUUACCUGAUGUUGUAUAUUAAAUAGGUGAUGAUUCUGGAAUAGGUGCAUCAGAUAUAGAAAAGGUUGCAGAGUCCCUAAAGAUGGAAGUACAAAAAGAGAUGGCAUCCUGCCGACUUGUCUGUUUUUCAAGUUCUUGAGUUUUUCUGCAAGAGGGCUUGGGACAGUAUUCGGAAGACUUCUGAUAGGAACAGCAGAGACCAUUCCGCUUCAGAGCUUGUUGAUACCACUGGUUGUGGGGAUGCAUUCAUAGGAGUAGUACUUCACGGCGGGCAUCAAGCAUCGGUGCUGGGCUGGUCUACCUCUACCCUGGCUGGCCAUUUGUGUUGUCAGUUAUAGAAAAAUGACCCGGAAUAGAAGAACCGCCGCCUUGUUCAGAAGUCCACAGGUUGAUACAUGGUGACUGGUGAGCUACAGUAUCAUUCAGCACAAGAAAUUGGAAGUUUCUCCCUCUUUUUUUAUUUGAUUUUUGGCCACUUGAAUAUGUGUUUCUAGAAGUACUGUUUGGUUGAAUAAAAUAGACCAGGGCAAACCCUCUGAAAUUCGGAUGUGCAGAACAGGUGAAUGUGUGAGUUGAGUUGAAUGCUAUUUAAAAA